GAUGAACGCUGGCGGCGUGCCUAAUACAUGCAAGUCGAGCGAAUGGAUUAAGAGCUUGCUCUUAUGAAGUUAGCGACGGACGGGUGAGUAACACGUGGGUAACCUGCCCAUAAGACUGGGAUAACUCCGGGAAACCGGGGCUAAUACCGGAUAACAUUUUGAACCGCAUGGUUCGAAAUUGAAAGGCGGCUUCGGCUGUCACUUAUGGAUGGACCCGCGUCGCAUUAGCUAGUUGGUGAGGUAACGGCUCACCAAGGCAACGAUGCGUAGCCGACCUGAGAGGGUGGUCGGCCACACUGGGACUGAGACACGGCCCAGACUCCUACGGGAGGCAGCAGUAGGGAAUCUUCCGCAAUGGACGAAAGUCUGACGGAGCAACGCCGCGUGAGUGAUGAAGGCUUUCGGGUCGUAAAACUCUGUUGUUAGAGAAGAACAAGUGCUAGUUGAAUAAGCUGGCACCUUGACGGUACCUAACCGGAAAGCCACGGCUAACUACGUGCCAGCCGCCGCCGUAA
Molecule: ribosomal RNA, 515 nt
Filed under: uncultured bacterium
Lineage: Bacteria
Description: partial 16S ribosomal RNA
Rfam family: Bacterial small subunit ribosomal RNA
Source: RNAcentral